GUAACACGUGGGCAACCUGCCCAAAAGAGGGGGAUAACACUUGGAAACAGGUGCUAAUACCGCAUAACCAUAGUUACCGCAUGGUAACUAUGUAAAAGGUGGCUAUGCUACCGCUUUUGGAUGGGCCCGCGGCGCAUUAGCUAGUUGGUGGGGUAAAGGCUUACCAAGGCAAUGAUGCGUAGCCGAACUGAGAGGUUGAUCGGCCACAUUGGGACUGAGACACGGCCCAAACUCCUACGGGAGGCAGCAGUAGGGAAUCUUCCACAAUGGGCGAAAGCCUGAUGGAGCAACGCCGCGUGGGUGAAGAAGGUCUUCGGAUCGUAAAACCCUGUUGUUAGAGAAGAAAGUGCGUGAGAGUAACUGUUCACGUUUCGACGGUAUCUAACCAGAAAGCCACGGCUAACUACGUGCCAGCAGCCGCGGUAAUACGUAGGUGGCAAGCGUUAUCCGGAUUUAUUGGGCGUAAAGGGAACGCAGGCGGUCUUUUAAGUCUGAUGUGAAAGCCUUCGGCUUAACCGGAGU
This 522-nucleotide ribosomal RNA is filed under the name uncultured bacterium. RNAcentral's name for it is "bacterial SSU rRNA". It matches the Rfam family "Bacterial small subunit ribosomal RNA", at positions 110 to 619 of the family's 1533-position model. The record is from RNAcentral.